UACGGGGGGGGCAAGCGUUGUUCGGAAUUACUGGGCGUAAAGGGCUCGUAGGUGGCCAACUAAGUCGGACGUGAAAUCCCUCGGCUUAACCGGGGAACUGCGUCCGAUACUGGUUGGCUUGAGUUUGGGAGAGGGAUGCGGAAUUCCAGGUGUAGCGGUGAAAUGCGUAGAUAUCUGGAGGAACACCGGUGGCGAAGGCGGCAUCCUGGACCGAGAUUGACACUGAGGAGCGAAAGCCAGGGGAGCAAACGGG
This 253-nucleotide ribosomal RNA is filed under the name uncultured bacterium. RNAcentral's name for it is "partial 16S ribosomal RNA". It matches the Rfam family "Bacterial small subunit ribosomal RNA", at positions 524 to 776 of the family's 1533-position model. The record is from RNAcentral.